Molecule: long non-coding RNA, 1747 nt
Filed under: Homo sapiens (human)
Lineage: Eukaryota; Metazoa; Chordata; Mammalia; Primates; Hominidae
Description: HSALNT0400115
Source: RNAcentral
GUCUCAGCCAUGGUUGCAUACCUUCCAAGCUCCACCGCCUCUUCUUCCUCGUGGGCAGAUCCCUGAUUUUGUGUAGGACAGCACUUGAAAUGUAUUUGUGUGCUCAACAUUGGUUUCCUCUCUGGAACCUGGGAUCACUUCAGGGGUGGACACGUGGCCCAACCAUGACUGAUGAGACAUGCGGGGAAAUCUGCAGAGGCAACUUCUAGGAAAGGUUGGGCUCUUGCAGCCACCCUGUGACUAUGAGGACUAUGAAGGGCUGAAGAUUUACUCUACUUGAGAACGAACCAGGUUUUUGUAAGCUCCAGACAUUGGAUAAAGCAUUUUGAGGGAUAGGUGAAAACGAAAUCCUGCCCUUUACUCUUGAGAACUCACUCUGCUGUGGGAGGAGAGACAGGCAGGUGUUAGAAAUGCUUAGAGCCAGAAAGACACACAAGAAACAACUGUGAAAGUUGAUCAUACAAAUCGGGUCAUUCUUAUCAUAUCCAAAUAAAACCGCCAAGAAGCCAAGAGGGAAAGGUGCUCAGGAUGCAUAACAUUGCUCCAAGAAUAUAAUUUUCUGCAAGCCUGGCUGCUGUAACCUGAAACCAGUUUUAUCUAAUAGCUGCUAAAAUGACCUGCUGCAACUCUAAGACCAAUUAUACCCAUUCCAUUACUUACCAAUCAAAAGUUGCCACCUCACCGGAACUGUACUAGUGCCAAUGAACUUUCUCAAAGAGCAAUACAUAACACUUCUCUUUGUUAUAAAACCUCCAACCAUCUCUUUGUUCUUUAGACACACCGAAAACCACCCAAUAUGUGGUCUUGCAAUUCUUUCUUCCCAAAUAAAAUGUUAAAUUUAGAGGUUCAUCUUUACCUUUUAAUUCUUUGACACAACCGAAUAGGACAAAGCAAUGCAUUUAACUUGUUCAACUGUUGAUGAAAUCAUUGCAAAGGCAGCUCUAAUUUUUUUUCAGACCUCAGUCUACUGACAGCAUGAACAGAAAGAGAGGGUCUCUUUCUGCUGGUGCUUCGGUUUGAGAACCAGUGCUCCUGACUUUGGUUGGCCAUUGGUGUCUGUCUGAAGAGGGUCUCCACUGCCCCCAGGCAUGUUCCUUCUCUCACUGCUGCCCCCUGGGAUGGAAACUCGACAUCCCCUCUUUCCCUUCCUACUGGCACCAACGGUACCAGAGCAAACCCCACAAUCUCCAUGCCUACAUUUCUUUGACAUCCACCUGUCACCAUCUUUGGAGGAUUCAAGUGAAGUUCUUUGUCUUUUAUGGGACAGAGAUGAUUCUCCACUCCAGAGGGUCUGGAGUGAUUAUAGGAAUGUAAUCGCCUUGAACAAUCAGCGUGUUUUACAGCCUACUGCCCUGCAUUUUGUGUGGAAUGCAGUUGUCUUAUUGCUUGGAACCAGCUCUCAGUAGACCUCAGCAGCUUAUAGACAAACCCGAGUGAACUUUCCUCAUGACCAUGCUAGUGUCUCCAUCCUGGGAUGAGCCACAGCUUCAUCACCAUAACAUGCAACCUAUGUGCUGGUGUGAUGACUCGCUGUGUCUGCACCACUGAGGCUCCUCCUCCACAUGCCAUGACGCGUCCUCUCUUCUCUCCAUCUCCCCAUGAAGUCCUCCUGUCACUUUCCCUCAGGGAGACAUGGCUUUGGAGAGUACUCCCAACAGCAUGCUUAUUUGUGCCAAGUAAUAAAACUCCUGUUGAUCAAACCUACAGUCUCAAGGAGAUUGAUUUCUUACUUGCCAAGCAAAAGAAC